GGGGCUCCCAAACGCGGGCCGGCGCGUGGGGGCAGCGGGGCCUCCCGGCUGCCCGAGCCGCUCCACUGGGAGAGGAGGAGACAAAACAGCGGCGCGCCGCCCCGCGCAGAGCCCCCCGCCCGCGCCGCCCCACCGACCCCCCAACCGCCGAGGCGACGGCGGCGACACUGAGCCCGGCGCGGGGAGCAAUGGUGGCCCCCGCCCUCCACCCCCGCCUCGGCUCCUCCCCCUCGGCCUCCUGCCGCCGCCACCAGGACACUCGAGUCCGCCUCCCCCACCCCGCCCGCUCAGAGCGCUCCUCCCCUCCCCACGCGGCGGCGGGGAGGGGGGGUACGGCGGCACCGCCAGUCACCGCCGCGCCUGUCAAACCCGGGCCGGCUAUUUAUACCCCGCGGGGCCCCGCCGCCCUCGACCCGCACCAGCCCGCCCAACAUGCUUCCGUGGCCGUCUCGAAUCUCGCCCGCCCUGUAGCCCCCCAACUUCUCAAACCCGCCUUCUCAGAUUAUGAAACUGAGGCAACUGAAGGUGAAGAAUAAUUUUUCCAAGACCAGCAGCAAGUGAGUAGUGGGGCCAGGUAGGAAAACUAAGCAGACUGGCUCCAGAUUCCCUGCUCUCAACACUCUGCUCAGCUUUCUCCUGCUCCUCCUCCACAUCAUCUCCAAGACUGAAGGCGACGGGUCAGGCAGGCUUCUCCGGAUCCUGUGCUCUCCUGUGAGUUAAGGUAGGUGAAGGAGCCCAGUUCACAAUUCAACAAACCUAAAAGGGCUUACAUUCUGCUAGAGAAUUCCAGGAUCCACUUACAAUGUCUGCAUUGUUAUUUGGUUGCCUGAAUGGAGAAAGAAAAUUAAAAUAUACUCUCUUUUUUAAUUAACUACUUGAUAUGCCAAUAAAAUAAUUUUCCUACAUUCAUUGGUUACAUACUCUCUUCUUUCUUCAUAUGAUGAUUUUGCAAUAUUAGUUUCAUGGAAAGAAUAGAAAGAUCAUUUUUUUCCUCUAGCUUAGAAUAUUAAAAUUUGGUUUUUAUUACUGAUGCUUUAGAAAUGUUUCUGUUAGCCUUAUAACUUAUUAUUGAUAAUAUAUACAUUUUAGGAAAGUUUUCAAUUUGCAGGAAUUUCUAUCAUAUUUCUUUCAUAUAGAAGUAAGAUUUUAGUUUAUUCCAGUUUUCUUACGCUGUUACUAAUCUUAGAUAUUCUUUGACUUUGAAAACAGUAGUAGAAAGCUGGUAUGUUAAGGAUGGAUAAACAGAAAGGUCUUACUGUAUAGCACAAGAAACUAUAUUCAAUAUCCUGUAUUCAUAAUGGAAAAGAAUAUGAAAAAUAAUAUAUAUGUGUACAAGUUAGUCACUUUGCUGUACAGCAGAAAUUAGUUCAACAUUUUAAAUCAAAUAUAGUUAAGUAAAAUUUUUUUUAAAUGCCUCUUAGACAAAAAAAAAUUAGUUGCUAUUUGAUGUUCAGAGAGUAGUGAUGAUAAAUCGUGUUAUCUCUAUGGAUGUCACUUUUUAAUGUCAAAUCAGCCAUGUACUUACAUAUUUUACCAAUUUAUUCCUAUGAGUCAUUCCUGUCAACUCUGGUAUGAUUCAAAACUUCCUCAUUACUUAUUUUCAAAUUUAUCUUUUCCUUUGAAUGUUUGCUUUGAUAUGUUUUGAAAUUAUGAUCUCGAAUUUCUAUUUUUGAUGUAAGCAUCAUCUUUAUCACUUUCG
Molecule: long non-coding RNA, 1699 nt
Organism: Bos grunniens (domestic yak)
Lineage: Eukaryota; Metazoa; Chordata; Mammalia; Artiodactyla; Bovidae
Source: Ensembl